Long non-coding RNA from Oncorhynchus tshawytscha (Chinook salmon), 735 nucleotides. The record is from Ensembl. Lineage: Eukaryota; Metazoa; Chordata; Actinopteri; Salmoniformes; Salmonidae.
GCACUCUGUCUCCACUCCCCAUUCAUUCGCUCAUCUGAAAAGGUCGACGAUGGUGAUCGUCGCAGGGACUUGCCAGAUGGGUGGUAGCAACAGUGCCGUGGUCUAGCCAGAGCCCAAAAUGAGAGGAUAGGAUGCCAGGACGCCGGGCCCGAGUUGAUUGGCACCUGAACGACGAAAGAGGAGUAGCACCGGGUAUGUCCUCCCAGGAACACGAAGGGGAGACGACACAUCGGAUAUGUCCUCCCAGGAACACGAAGGGGAGACGACACAUCAGGUAUGUCCUCCCAGGAACACGAAGGGGAGACGACACAUCAGGUAUGUCCUCCCAGGAACACGAAGGGGAGACGACACAUCGGGUAUGUCCUCCCAGGAACACGAAGGGAAGACGACACAUCAGAUAUGUCCUCCCAGGAACACGAAGGGGAGACGACACAUCGGGUAUGUCCUCCCAGGAACAUGAAGGGAAGACGACGAGUAAAAUAACAUUUUGGAUUUACGAGAGUCCGCAGAAAAGAAGUGGAGUCGGUUCACUUUGGCUUUUUCUCCCCCUUCUUCCUCUCUUCCUCCCAGCGUCUGUCUGGCUUGGUGCACUGCGACUGGGAAACUGUAGUUGGUAGCACACAGAGCUCUCUCCCUCUCUGCCAGUGGCAAACUGAGGAAGGCAGGCAGCGGCAGCUUCGUGACACAGCAAUCAGCUGACAUGGUGCUAUCCCUCAAUGUCCUGAGCAAGCUGGG